This 1160-nucleotide long non-coding RNA is filed under the name Fragaria vesca (wild strawberry). Its description in RNAcentral is "long non-coding RNA (FVES_LNC001301)". The record is from RNAcentral. Lineage: Eukaryota; Viridiplantae; Streptophyta; Magnoliopsida; Rosales; Rosaceae.
CGUUUCUCUGGCCUCCCUAUAAAUUAAGAGCUCCUCUCAUCACAAUGUCACACGUAUUUUAGGUUUAGGGUUUGAUGUAUAGUCUCUCUCUGGUUCAGUUCUCGGCGGCCGCCGACGAAGUUGAGGAACCACCUCCCUGAAGUUAAGAUAGUUAACAUCUUCCCCAGCGCUCCAUCAGAUUUCGGGGAUCCGAGUCUGCUGCGUGUUCGGGAACUGUACGUGCAGAUCUAGGGUCUUCUAUCAGCGAUUCGUCAGAUUCCAAUUCAAACUGAGUAGUCGGAUGGUCGACUGUAAAGAGUUUGAAGUGGGAUUUGGCGAAUUGAGGGUCAAGAUUAAUAGAGCCGCACGUUGUCGGCACGCAGGAGAAACGGGUUUCUUGUUUUUGAUGGGUAGUCUGGAGAGGAUGAUCACUAUUUUUUCUUGAGGUAGGAUGAUCAUGUUCUUCACCAUAUCAAUCUUCAUCCAGAGAAAGAGAGGGUUGUUUGUUCUAUAAUAUAUAGAUAUAUGUAUAUACGUAUCUACUGUAUUGCUGCUUUUGUUAUGUAUUUGGUUUCAGGGAUCUUUAGAGUGGGAUAUCUGAACUGUCUCAGAUGAAGACGUGCACGACUACACUGGAGCUGCGGGAUCUUUAGAGUUGUUGGCUAGGUUGUAACUUCUACAAGUGAUUGAUAUCUCUAUUAUUGAGAGACUUGGAGUGGUGCUUUCUGUAGAGGCUUAGGUCUUUUUCGCUCCUGUUAAUAAGAAAACAAUGAUGUUGGCAACUUGGCAUUACUUUGUGUAAAGCUGUUGGCAUGGUCACGCAAGUAUUGAUGGCCACCGAUCUAUAGACCAUGGUGGAGCCAUAGUGAUGUGCCUCAUUUACUUUGUGGGAUAAGACUUGAGAGGUCUCUACCAGUUUUCCAUCAUUUGAUACUAUUAUUAACUGAAAGAAAAAAAACACGAAUGAGUAAUGUACAGAUCUAAUGUAUGGUAGUGUUGAUUUGUUCAUCCAUGCGCUAGCUUGAUGUAAUUGUUUUGUGCAGAUAGGUUUCUUUAGAGGUUUAAGGUGUUGUAUGUUAAGGUUUGAGGUAGUUUGUAGCCUAAAAUUGUGCGUUCGUUUAAAUGUGCGUUCGUUUAAGAACUACUCGGUAGAUGAUAGUUUUAUGAGUGUAGGGUUUGAG